RNAcentral lists this transfer RNA (66 nucleotides) under Rhoptropella ocellata (Namaqua day gecko). Its description in RNAcentral is "tRNA-Cys". Lineage: Eukaryota; Metazoa; Chordata; Lepidosauria; Squamata; Gekkonidae. The record is from RNAcentral.
AAGCCCGGGGCACCACCUUGGGUGCUUCUUCAAACUUGCAUUUUGCUGUGUAACACCCCCGAGCUU